UGACGGAGCGACGCCGCGUGGAUGAAGAAGGCUGAAAAGUUGUAAAAUCCUUUUGUUGAUGAAGAAUAAGGGGAAGAGGGAAUGCUUCUCUGAUGACGGUAGUCGGUGAAUAAGCCCCGGCUAAUUACGUGCCAGCAGCCGCGGUAACACGUAAGGGGCGAGCGUUGUUCGGAAUUAUUGGGCGUAAAGGGCAUGUAGGCGGUUAUGUAAGCCUGAUGUGAAAUCCUGGGGCUUAACCCCAGAAUAGCAUUGGGUACUGUGUAACUCGAAUUACGGAAGGGAAACUGGAAUUCCAAGUGUAGGGGUGGAAUCUGUAGAUAUUUGGAAGAACACCGGUGGCGAAGGCGGGUAUCUGGCCGAUAAUUGACGCUGAGAUGCUAAAGUGUGGGGAUCGAACAGGAUUAAUACCCUGGUAGUCCACACCGUAAACGAUGUACACUAGGUGUGGGGGCAAAGCUUCAGUGCCAAGCAACACGAUAAGUGUACGCUGGGAUAUGCC
Molecule: ribosomal RNA, 499 nt
Filed under: Treponema sp. oral taxon 237
Lineage: Bacteria; Pseudomonadati; Spirochaetota; Spirochaetia; Treponematales; Treponemataceae
Description: bacterial SSU rRNA
Rfam family: Bacterial small subunit ribosomal RNA
Source: RNAcentral